GCUGGGUGUGGUGGUGCAUGCCUGUAGUUCCAGCUACUCGGGAGGCUAAGGUGGGGGGAUUGCUUGAACCCAGGAGGUCAAGGCUGCAGUGAGCUGAGAUUGUGCCACUGCACUCCAGUCUGGGUAACAGAGCAAGACCCUGUCUCAA
Molecule: non-coding RNA, 148 nt
Filed under: Nomascus leucogenys (northern white-cheeked gibbon)
Lineage: Eukaryota; Metazoa; Chordata; Mammalia; Primates; Hylobatidae
Source: Rfam by way of RNAcentral